This 1279-nucleotide long non-coding RNA is filed under the name Bos grunniens (domestic yak). Its description in RNAcentral is "lncRNA (ENSBGRG00000007444.1)". The record is from RNAcentral. Lineage: Eukaryota; Metazoa; Chordata; Mammalia; Artiodactyla; Bovidae.
GAGGGCUGUGUCCUCUGGAGCCCACUCCGCUGAGGGCUUGGGCCUGGAGUAUGCUUAGGGGCUGUGUUCUGGGGGAUUCCCUCUCCAGAGCCUUAGUAGCCUGUGGUCACCCCGAGCGUGCUUUCAACACACCCCAAACCUUUUGCUGCCUCCUGUUUCCCCAGGGCGGCAGGGAGGUGCUUUGCAGGGGUGUGGAUGAGCCAGGUGGUCCCUGCUCCGGAUGCUGAGCUGGCCAAGGCCCUGGGGCUCCCUCCUGGGCUAUUCCUCCCACCUCGGGCCCCAGGAAGCCCUGGCGUUGGAUCUUGCCCACUUUGUGGUGAGGGGCUCCAGGAGACUGCACUGCUGGUUUCCCGCGUGGGGUUCCCAGCUGGUCCAUGAAUUCACAGGGAGGCGAGGUGCCCUCUGUCUCUGAGAUCCUGAGAGGCCCACGUGCCCAGCUUUGGUGGAGCGCGUCAGGCCUGAGAGCAGCCCUGGCCUUGCUGUCCGAGCCACUUCUGUGCACGAUCUGCCCUGUUGCUGGCCAGCUGACCCCGAGGGCCAGGCCAGCCUCGUGACCUUGGGUGCACACCCCCACCGGGGCAGUGGGUAGGCAGGACACCUGCCGGCCUGUCAGGCCCUCCCCUGCCCUCUCCGGCUCACAGGUGGUCGCAGGAAGGGGGGCCCGUGCCCCCUGUAGCACAGACCCUUGGUGGACAUGUGGGGAUCGGGCUGGGGUGCAGCGGCCCUUCAGGGAGGGGCCUGUUCGUUUCCCACCCUUGCGGCAGGAGGUCCCCCGGACCGACUCGCCCCCUCUGUACUGGCAGCCCCAGCCUCCGCCCCCUGCCCAGGUCCCCCGGCCGCCCCAGCAGCUCUCCUCCUGCACAGUGUCCUCUCGGACCACUUUUCCGCAUGCAGGUCUCCUCUUUCCCGGCGUGAGACUCCUCCGGUUGGCCCACCCUUCCGGCUUGCCCCGUGCCCCUGAGGUUUACCUGGCCAGAAGCCCCCUGCACGUGUGGUCUCCUCUGCCCUCCCAGGCUUCUGCCCUGGGGCCGCGUUGGAGUGUUGAAUAAAUGAAUGAAAAGAGGCUCCCAGCUCCCGGGUGGAGCCUGGAGGGGGAGGCAGUGGGGUGCUGGGGGCCCUCCGCUGGCCGCCCGCUGCACCUUGGCUCCCUGCCACUCAGGGUGGGACCCCCACUGCGUGCUGUCUCUGCCCUCCCAGGCCAUGGGCACCGCAGCCUGCACUCACGUCCCCACUGUGAUGUGUGGGCUCCAGGCCUCCUGGCCGCAGCAGUCAACUGGGG